AGCAGCCGCGGUAAUUCCAGCUCCAAUAGCGUAUAUUAAAGUUGUUGCAGUUAAAAAGCUCGUAGUUGAAUUUCGGGGUUAGUAGGUUGGUCGUGCCACUGGUACGUACUGGUCUCACUGACUCCUCCUUCCUGAUGAACUGUAAUGCCAUUAAUUUGGUGUUGCGGGGAAACUGGACUGUUACUUUGAAAAAAUUAGAGUGUUUAAAGCAAGCUAACGCUUGAAUACAUUAGCAUGGAAUAAUGAAAUAGGACGUUCGAUCCUAUUUUGUUGGUUUCUAGGAUUGACGUAAUGAUUAAUAGGGAUAGUUGGGGGCAUUAGUAUUCAAUUGUCAGAGGUGAAAUUCUUGGAUUUAUUGAAGACUAACUACUGACGAAAGCACUUGCCAAGGAUGUUUUCAUUAAUCAAGAACGAAAGUUAGGGAUCGGAAGACGAUCAGACUACCGUCGUAGUCUUAACCAUAAACUAUGCCGACUAGGGAUCGGGAUGAUUGUUUAAUUUUUUAAUGUACUUCUAUUCC
Molecule: ribosomal RNA, 520 nt
Filed under: uncultured Glomus
Lineage: Eukaryota; Fungi; Glomeromycota; Glomeromycetes; Glomerales; Glomeraceae
Description: SSU rRNA
Rfam family: Eukaryotic small subunit ribosomal RNA
Source: RNAcentral